Gallus gallus (chicken) is the source of this 425-nucleotide long non-coding RNA. NCBI's taxonomy places the organism in Eukaryota, Metazoa, Chordata, Aves, Galliformes, Phasianidae. The record is from Ensembl.
CAAAGAGGAGGGCGUGCUGCACCUAGCUCUGCUCAUUGGUUCUUCAGGGAGCUGUGUUUUCUACUGCUCCUCCUGGAAGGCAGCUCUGCGUCCAGUGCCUGAGCUCAUGAGCCAGGUUCAGGCACUGCAGCAUGGAGUCUGAGGACAGCGUAUGAUCGUCACUUACGCAGCAGGGGUGGAUGGUGUCUGUUUUCCACAUGGGGCUCUCCUAUGGAGGUUUGUUUCUGUGCAUGUCCUGAACAGGGAAGACACCAGCCAACGAGGUGCCUGAGAGGGAGCAUUCAAUUCCCCAGACAUCUCUGCAAAGCAAUUCGGCCCCAACCUCCCCUGGCUGUUGAGGUCCUAGUCUUAGUUUUCCAAGCCAGCUAGCAAGAAAGGAGGAAUAUAAUGCAACAAUACUACCUUGCAAGGCACGUCGUACGGUG